RNAcentral lists this ribosomal RNA (536 nucleotides) under uncultured bacterium. Its description in RNAcentral is "bacterial SSU rRNA". It matches the Rfam family "Bacterial small subunit ribosomal RNA", at positions 1 to 521 of the family's 1533-position model. The record is from RNAcentral.
UGGGCCCGAGUUUGAUCAUGGCUCAGGACGAACGCUGGCGGCAUGCCUAAUACAUGCAAGUCGAGCGGAAUGAUGAGAGCUUGCUCUCUGAUUUUAGCGGCGGACGGGUGAGUAACACGUGGGCAACCUGCCCUACAGAUGGGGAUAACUCCGGGAAACCGGGGCUAAUACCGAAUAAACAGUUUGUCCGCAUGGACAAACUCUGAAAGACGGUUUCGGCUGUCACUGUAGGAUGGGCCCGCGGCGCAUUAGCUAGUUGGUGGGGUAAUGGCCUACCAAGGCAACGAUGCGUAGCCGACCUGAGAGGGUGAUCGGCCACACUGGGACUGAGACACGGCCCAGACUCCUACGGGAGGCAGCAGUAGGGAAUCUUCCACAAUGGACGAAAGUCUGAUGGAGCAAUGCCGCGUGAGCGAAGAAGGUUUUCGGAUCGUAAAGCUCUGUUGUAAGGGAAGAACAAGUACGGGAGUAACUGCCCGUGCCAUGACGGUACCUUAUUAGAAAGCCACGGCUAACUACGUGCCAGCAGCCGCGGU